AUACGUAGGGGGCGAGCGUUGUCCGGAAUGAUUGGGCGUAAAGGGCGCGUAGGCGGCCCGGUAAGUCUGGAGUGAAAGUCCUGUUUUUAAGAUGGGAAUUGCUUUGGAUACUGUCGGGCUUGAGUGCCGGAGAGGUAAGUGGAAUUCCCAGUGUAGCGGUGAAAUGCGUAGAGAUUGGGAGGAACACCAGUGGCGAAGGCGACUUACUGGACUGUAACUGACGUUGAGGCGCGAAAGUGUGGGGAGCAAACAGGAUUAGAUACCCUGGUAGUCCACACUGUAAACGAUGAAUGCUAGGUGUAGGGGGUAUCGACCCCUUCUGUGCCGCAGUCAACACAAUAAGCAUUCCGCCUGGGGAGUACGGCCGCAAGGUUGAAACUCAAAUGAAUUGGCGGGG
This 397-nucleotide ribosomal RNA is filed under the name uncultured bacterium. Its description in RNAcentral is "partial 16S ribosomal RNA". It matches the Rfam family "Bacterial small subunit ribosomal RNA", at positions 523 to 918 of the family's 1533-position model. The record is from RNAcentral.